UACAGAGGUGGCAAGCGUUGUUCGGAAUUACUGGGCGUAAAGGGCGCGUAGGCGGCUUUUUAAGUCAGACGUGAAAUCCCCCGGCUUAACCUGGGAACUGCGUCUGAUACUGGGAAGCUUGAGUUCGGGAGAGGGAUGUAGAAUUCCAGGUGUAGCGGUGAAAUGCGUAGAUAUCUGGAGGAAUACCGGUGGCGAAGGCGGCAUCCUGGACCGAAACUGACGCUGAGGCGCGAAAGCUAGGGGAGCAAGCAGG
This 253-nucleotide ribosomal RNA is filed under the name uncultured bacterium. RNAcentral describes it as "partial 16S ribosomal RNA". It matches the Rfam family "Bacterial small subunit ribosomal RNA", at positions 524 to 776 of the family's 1533-position model. The record is from RNAcentral.